Molecule: long non-coding RNA, 293 nt
Organism: Athene cunicularia (burrowing owl)
Lineage: Eukaryota; Metazoa; Chordata; Aves; Strigiformes; Strigidae
Exons: 3
Source: RefSeq, a predicted model, not a curated record
CAGGUCCUGCCAGGAGCCUGCUCCAGUGCGGUCACAACCUCCUUCAGGCAUCCACCUGCUCUGAGUGGGCUCCUCCAGGGGCUGCAAGUGGAGAUCUGCUCCACCGCGGACCUCCACGGGCUGCAGGGUCACAGCCUGCCUCACCGGGGGCUGCACCAGGGGCUGCAGGGGAAUCUGCCCUGGUGCCUGGAGCAACUCCGCACCCUCCUUCUUCACUGACCUUGGUGUCUGCAGUUGUUCCUCACAUAUUCUGACUCCCCUCUCCUGGCUGCUGGAGCACAGGGGUUUUUCCC